RNAcentral lists this long non-coding RNA (235 nucleotides) under Homo sapiens (human). RNAcentral's name for it is "non-protein coding lnc-RBL2-5:1". The record is from RNAcentral. Lineage: Eukaryota; Metazoa; Chordata; Mammalia; Primates; Hominidae.
AUGCAGUAUUUGUCCUUCUGUACCUGGCUUAUUUCACUUAGCAUAAUGUUCUCUCAUUCCAUCCAAUGUUGCUGCAAAUGACAAAAUUUCUUUCUUUUUAAAGGCUGAGUGGUAUUUACGGGCUGUGUAUAUAUGUCACAUUUUCUUUGUCCAUUCAUCUGUUGAUGAACACUUUGGUUGAUUCCAUAAGUUGAAUAGUGCAUAGUGCUGCAGUGAACAUGGGAGUGCAGACAUC